RNAcentral lists this ribosomal RNA (253 nucleotides) under uncultured bacterium. Its description in RNAcentral is "partial 16S ribosomal RNA". It matches the Rfam family "Bacterial small subunit ribosomal RNA", at positions 524 to 776 of the family's 1533-position model. The record is from RNAcentral.
UACAGAGGGUGCGAGCGUUGUCCGGAAUCACUGGGCGUAAAGGGCGCGUAGGCGGUGCGAUAAGCGUGCGGUGAAAGCCCGGGGCUCAACCCCGGGUCGGCCGUGCGGACUGUCGGACUGGAGCACUGUAGAGGCAGGUGGAAUUCCGGGCGUAGCGGUGGAAUGCGUAGAGAUCCGGAAGAACACCGGUGGCGAAGGCGGCCUGCUGGGCAGUUGCUGACGCUGAGGCGCGACAGCGUGGGGAGCAAACAGG